UACAGAGGAUGCAAGCGUUAUCCGGAAUGAUUGGGCGUAAAGCGUCUGUAGGUGGCUUUUUAAGUCCGCCGUCAAAUCCCAGGGCUCAACUCUGGACAGGCGGUGGAAACUACCAAGCUGGAGUACGGUAGGGGCAGAGGGAAUUUCCGGUGGAGCGGUGAAAUGCGCAGAUAUCAGGAGGAACACCAAUUGCGAAGGCAGCUCGCUGGGACGUUACUGACGCUGAGACGCGAAAGCGUGGGGAGCAAACGGG
This 253-nucleotide ribosomal RNA is filed under the name uncultured bacterium. Its description in RNAcentral is "partial 16S ribosomal RNA". It matches the Rfam family "Bacterial small subunit ribosomal RNA", at positions 524 to 776 of the family's 1533-position model. The record is from RNAcentral.